GCCCGAGUGGUGGAAUUGGUAGACACACAGGACUUAAAAUCCUGCGAUCUCAACAAUCGUACCGAUUCAAGUCCGGUCUCGGGCA
This 85-nucleotide transfer RNA is filed under the name Spirochaetales bacterium. Its description in RNAcentral is "tRNA-Leu". It matches the Rfam family "tRNA". From Rfam's summary of the family: Transfer RNA (tRNA) molecules are approximately 80 nucleotides in length. Their secondary structure includes four short double-helical elements and three loops (D, anti-codon, and T loops). Lineage: Bacteria; Pseudomonadati; Spirochaetota; Spirochaetia; Spirochaetales. The record is from RNAcentral.